RNAcentral lists this long non-coding RNA (732 nucleotides) under Olea europaea subsp. europaea. Lineage: Eukaryota; Viridiplantae; Streptophyta; Magnoliopsida; Lamiales; Oleaceae. The record is from RNAcentral.
UUGGAAAGCAGCCAAACGGGUCAUGCGGUAUUUACAGAGAACAAAAGACUACAUGCUCACAUACAGGAGAUCGGAUCAGUUGGAGAUCAUCGGUUAUUCUGAUUCCGAUUUCGCGGGAUGCCAAGAUAGUAGGAGAUCCACUUCAGGCUAUAUUUACCUGCUUGCUGGAGGUGCUAUUUCAUGGAAGAGUGCUAAGCAGACACUCAUAGCUACUUCCACUAUGGCAGCGGAGUUUAUAGCGUGUUAUGAGGCAUCAAAUCAUGGAAUAUGGCUACGUAAUUUUGUCACUGGGCUGCGCAUUGUGGACAAUAUAGAAAGACCACUUAAGAUAUUUUGUGACAAUAAAUCAGCAGUGCUGUAUUCUAAUAACAACAGGAGCUCGACAAAGUCAAAACACAUAGAGAUCAAGUUCCUUGCUGUUAAAGAAAGAGUUCAGAGUGGACAGGUGUCAAUAGAGCAUAUUGGGACAAACUCCAUGGUUGCGGAUCCGCUUACUAAGGGAUUGAUACCCAAGGUCUUUCAUGAGCACACUGCUCAUAUGGGUGUAAUGUCUCUUGAGGAUAUCUAGUUUCAGUGGGAGUUUGNGGAGAUAUUUAAGUAACCCGGGAAUGGAUCAUUGGAAAGCAGCCAAACGGGUCAUGCGGUAUUUACAGAGAACAAAAGACUACAUGCUCACAUACAGGAGAUCGGAUCAGUUGGAGAUCAUCGGUUAUUCUGAUUCCGAUUUCGCGG